UGAUUUUUUCAUGUGUACAGAAUCUCAUUUCAAUUAAGACACACAACUUUCCCAAACACCAUUUUCACAUUUCAGUUUGAAAUGGUUUAUCACACGACGUCGUUUUUGGUACCUCUCCAUUUAUACAGGGAAAUCCUCAAGGAGAAUAAGUAAUGAGGAAUUGAUGCAUUGUGCCUUUUAGGAGAAUGUUACAGUUCUGCAACACAUGAUGCAACCGAAACAAAACAGUUUCUGGAGAUAACGAUACCGAAACAAGCUGCUAUAACGAGGUGCUUUCAAAUCAUAGGAGAUAGCCGCCACAGAACAAUGUCAUGGCCUUAAUGGAAUGGAUUUGCGUCUAUAAUGGACGAGACGAAGGUGUUUCCACCACAACAAAGUUUUUCGAUUCUCAACUCUCAUUUCAGAUGAACUAGCAUAAAAAUUCCAUAUUUUGCAUCAUCCACAUCAACCCUUACCUGAUUAAACCGGAAUCUCACUAGGUCCCUUCACCUCCCUGUUCUUCUCUGCCGCUGCAUGUCACUGGAUCCAAUCUUGUCAAGCUCUGUCACACGAGUGGUAGGAAUCAUCCCCGGUAGUAGCUUGCUCAGUCGCUGGUCGCAGCUUGCUUGGCUGCAGAUGGUAGGUGUACAUCUGAAAUUGUAGACUAAAGAUCUUUGGUUUUGGUUGCAAGUUAACUGGGAGAGAUUAGGCACUUUGUAAAAGAAAUUCUUUUCCACUUUUGAGCUUUUGAUUUACCAUGUUUUAAACUUUUGGAUCCUAUAUAUGGAUUUAUGGUUAAUAUUAAACUUAAAACUUCAGGUUUUUCCCUUUAAAACAUUAUUAACAUUUUUUCUGUUUCUGUUGAAAUACUAGGUUAGUGGUGAUUUAGGUCAGCAUCCUGUGAUUCCUGAAGGAUAAAAGUCCUAAGUUGACCUAUAUGUAUAUUUCAUUCAAUUUUAAAGGCAGUGCUCAAAUGUAUUACUAGUCAGAUCAAAUC
Lupinus albus (white lupine) is the source of this 976-nucleotide non-coding RNA. The record is from the annotation of a GenBank genome assembly. NCBI's taxonomy places the organism in Eukaryota, Viridiplantae, Streptophyta, Magnoliopsida, Fabales, Fabaceae.